UUUGUAUACUAUAUAAGUUUCCUCCACAAACAAACUGGCAGCAACACAGGCAGGUUUCAGUGGACACGAGCACAACAGUAUCCAUUUUGACCAACGUGGGUCGACCGCCUCUGACCAAACGCACACACGAAGGUUCCCGGAUCCUACUUGUGGUCCCUGGGCCCACCGAAAAACGCAGACCCUUCGCUAUAUAUAGAACUCGCUCCACGACCAAGAAAUCCUCACAACCACUAGAGAUCUUCAUGUAUAAACAUACAUAAAGCAACGAGGGAGAGAGAGAUCAGGAGGAAGAUAGAGAGCUUACUUUUGGCUUCCAGUUGAGCGAAGACACACUUACCAUUAGUUAGUCCAGCGGAGAAGACGACCAUGGGGAGGACAAGAGACGCCGAAGCGGAGCUCAAUUUGCCGCCGGGGUUCCGGUUCCACCCCACAGACGAGGAGCUCGUUGUGCACUAUCUCUGCCGCAAGACCGCCUGCCAGUGCCAGCCUGUGCCCAUCAUCGCCGAGAUCGAUCUCUACAAGUACGAGCCUUGGGAACUUCCAGGUACUGCACACAUGAAAUAAUAGAGGAAACAGUUCAUGUUACACUAUCUACUGCGCAAUAUGAAACCUUGACAUGGCUGUAAUGCUUGUGCUGUGAGCAGAUAAGGCGUUGUUUGGGAACAGAGAGUGGUACUUCUUCACCCCUCGUGACCGCAAGUACCCGAAUGGGUCGAGGCCAAACAGGGCUGCCGGUAAGGGAUACUGGAAGGCAACUGGUGCUGAUAAGCCGAUCUCACCAAAGGGCAGCAACAGGACUGUUGGGAUCAAGAAAGCUUUGGUGUUUUACUCCGGCAAGGCACCGAAAGGAGUGAAGACAGAUUGGAUCAUGCAUGAAUACAGGUUGGCUGACGUGAACCGCAGCGCCAACAAGGGAAGCCUACGGGUAUGCAGCGAAUGAUAACAUACAAUCUCCUCAAAAGGUGCAUGUAAUUAAUUAUAUAGUGCUGACGAAACAAUUCUUUGGAUUCAUGCAGUUGGAUAACUGGGUUCUUUGCCGGCUAUACAACAAGAAGAAUACCUGGGAGAAGACGAAGAUGCAGAAACAGGAGGAGACAUCCUUUGGAGAGACCAUGCAAUCAGUGGAUGAUGCACUGUCCGACAGCUUCAGGACACCAGAAUCAGAUGUAGAAAAUGAGGUCGUGUUGCCAGAUUUUGAUGAUCUAGGCUACCUAUCCCAAGCUUCUACUGGAGUGCAAGCAUUGAGCGCCUGCAAAACAGCUGCACAUCAGAUGAUCGAGAAGAGUCAGAAAGAAGACAGUGAGUGGUUUAUGGACUUGAAACUAGAUGAUUUGCAGAGCUCCUACACCAACUUCGGAUCAACACCCAUUUCAGAUGCAACGAACCAAGAUUACUACUUCCAAUCCUUUGUAUCUCCAUUGCUGAGGCCAAAUCAUACCAACAUGCGACAGUUCUGAAUUGGAUCAAUGUAAAUAGCUUAGCAGAAUACGACAAUGUAGUAGUUAGUAGAUCAAAGAUCUGUUAUAUCCAAACAUUGUUUCAUCAUUCAGUAUAGGAGGCUGUUACAAGUUGGUGACUGAAUUCAAUCUAAAUUUGGUUUGAGAAACUACUUACUUUUUCUGAUAGGAGCGUCUAAUGACAGGUUUAAGGUUUAGUGAUGCAACUAUUUUCAAAUUCAGAUGGAAAAAAAAUUAAGUGGCACUUUUUAUUCGGUGAAGCAACUAUAGAUUACAAACACUUAGCAUAGGUUGAAAAGCAACUAUUUCCUUACUCAGAUGGAAAAACAUAAGCAGUAUAUUCUAUCACUAAAGAUUUGAUCCAGCCAAAGAUUUUCAACAUUGAAGACUACAAACACAUCAAAUAAGAAGUAAAAAAACCUUUGUUAAAACUUAACAAAGAUGCAUGUUACAUGACUAAGUGUAAUCAGUGCUGCAUUGUCAAGAUUUUUCUUUCAGACCUCCACGAACAUGGCACUGGAUCUCUCAUACAGUGCCACCUAUCUAAUGAAUAAAAGGUGUCAGGCAUCCUAUGCACAUCAAAAAGUCAUCUGAAUGAAAUGAAAGAAAAUAAAAGCAUAGGCAGGUAGCAGCAGAUAAAUAAAGGGACACUGGUUAAGCAAUCCAUUAGUUUCUCUAUUGCUUGAGACACAGAAAAAGAA
This 2158-nucleotide long non-coding RNA is filed under the name Musa acuminata (dwarf banana). Its description in RNAcentral is "long non-coding RNA (MACU_LNC001722)". Lineage: Eukaryota; Viridiplantae; Streptophyta; Magnoliopsida; Zingiberales; Musaceae. The record is from RNAcentral.